This is a long non-coding RNA of Manis javanica (Malayan pangolin), 2466 nucleotides long. RefSeq lists it as uncharacterized. The record is from RefSeq and is a predicted model, not a curated record. Lineage: Eukaryota; Metazoa; Chordata; Mammalia; Pholidota; Manidae.
CAGAAAAUCAAAUUCUGGCCAUCACAUAAUUUGAUGUCCCAUACAGAGUAUCUAUCACUCAGCAAAGCCCUGGCUGAGCUUCUCCAUUCUCCCCACCGACAUUUCCUCUGCAAGGUGACGUCUGGGGGCUGCGCAGGCACGGAAGGAGAGCUGAGGAAACAGCCGCUCAAACUGAUCACUCCGACUCUUGAGACUCAGAGCUCAGGGUGCGGGAAACGCCACACCGACGCCUCCUCGUCUUCCGGAAGCCUCUAUGCAUGCUUAGCAUCCUCGGGGAGUCCUCAUGGCACCGGUCCCAUCCUCUUUGGUCUCCUCUUCCAGGAAAUAAUGAGCAAAACAAAGGCAGUCUGGCAGAAAGCAGCUGCGUUGAACUUAGCAAUGACAGGCCCUGGGAGACAAGGGGGCCUCAGGGGAUCUGAAGAAGGUGCUUCAGGACAGUGGAAUUCUACUUUAGACAACCUGGAAGGCAGUACCUGUUCAAAAAUAAAAACAAGACCAAAAUGAAGACACCCGCCUUGGUGAGCACUCUACCAACAAUUAUUGAUUAAUGAUUGAUUCCGUGAGGUGAGGCCAUCCAGACCUGCACAGGCCUCGUUCUGGAAAUUCACAGCUAGGACUGGAGACGAACCUCUACCACCACCAAAACCAUUUUAUGUACCGUCCUGGAUGCAAACCUCUGCCUUUUACUGAGCAUGAACAAAAAAAAGUCUAGAUAAUCCGAGUCCAUGUUAGGCUCACUUAUUGGGAAGUUUGCUAAAUUAAAAUAGGUGUCUGUCAGUAGAUUGGAUUCUUUUAGGCCAGACUUGAAUAUUUCUCUCCUUCUUUUUCUACUAAAUGAGGGAGAUGGUGGCAAGGGGGGGAAGAAGAGAGAAAAGCAGGCAUGUUUUCUUAAAUCCAAAGAUGGAAAAGGAACCUCUUCUUAGUAAGCCUUCCAAGUUCUCCACAUGAGUGUGACCAGAAGGUCCCAGGGUGUCUCCCUGUUUCCUUGCCUGAGUUCCCCAGCUGCACUCUCAGUUUACUCCAAGGCUGUCCUAUCCCCCUUCUUAAAGGGGUUUGUUUUGAAUGCAGAUAGCUUUUGACCCAGCAAUUCUACUCCUAGGAAAUCCAUCCUACAAUUAGAGUAGCACACAUGGAAAAUGAUAUACAUGAAGCGGUCUGAAUGUCCACCAGUAAGGAACCAGUUAGAAGAACCGUGUAAAAGCAGAAAUCUUUGUACAUGUAAUGAUGGGGUGAACAUGAAAAAACAAAUAAAUAAAACAGAACCCCAUAAUACCAUCCCCAAAAUAUAUUAAUUCUUUCAAAGCAAUGGCAUAAGUUUGUAUGCCACCAUUUGUGUAUAAAAGAGGGAAAGAAUAUAUAUGUAUUUGCUAAUUCAUGUACAAAAUAGCUGUGGAAGGAUGGACAAUAAACUCAUAGCAUUGAUGCCUCAGGGAGGGAGCUUACAUACCUACAGGGAGGUUUUCUCACUGUCCAUUCUCACAGCUUUGGAAUCUGGCGCUACAGGAAUGCACUUGAACAUAAAUAAAUAAAUUCAUUCUUCAUUAACUAAAAAUAAUUUAUAUCACUUUUAAAGGGGACUGGUUAUGUAAAUCCCUGCUCUGAAUAGACCACUAUACUUGGAUACUUGCAGCAGUAGAGCUGGUUGGGACCCCACCUCUCAGGUUUCCUUCUCUGAGCAGAGGCUGGCAGAGGGCCACAGAAAUAAACGCUCCUCGAAAUUGCUCUGACAUCUUGGAAUUUGGUUUUAUCAAAUACAACCAGUGAUAAUUGAGCCACUGCCUGAGCAGCUCUCCCCUUUUCUAAUUGCAUUUGCUGAAAUGAGUUCAGAACUGCACAUCCCAGGUGGUUUGAAGCCCAGCCUAAAAGGCUCCUGCUUAGGGCAAGCUUAGAGGCUUAUCCACCAGAAGUGGGGGAUCAUGGAAACAUCAUCACCUUCAUGGCUGGAGCCUACAGAAGGGUCAGAAGCAGGUGUGACACCAUCCUGUGCAACUGAGAUACUCCAGUCUGCCACCCACCAAGGUCUUCUGGAGGCCCAGGGGCACCAGUUGGUUCCAGCCAGGGGAAGCUCAGUGCGUGGGGGCAGCUGUUUGCGUAAGCAUGGCCCCCACUUCCGUUUCAGGGCCUUUCCCUCUACUCCUGGACUCCCCACAUACCCAGAUAAGAAACAGAGUAUGAACACAUAUAGCAUGGACUACACAGGCACCCAGAAAGCAGCAGUGAGUGUUAGUGGGAUCAAAUUUAACUUUGAGUAAAUGCACUUAAGAACACCGGGUACUAAGUAGAAUUUAAGUUUGGGUCUCCUGACUUUUUUUUUCUAAUCUGCAAAUGAAGCACACAGAUGCCCAAAGGGAAGAGCUGCCCUGCCUUCCAGGAACUGUGGGAAGUGCACACCAGAGGGGCUGGAGGCCUGGACUCACUAGCCUGCCUGGUCCUUACUACCUGUGCACUUCCUGGGGCCUGCACCUA